Molecule: long non-coding RNA, 265 nt
Filed under: Elaeis guineensis (African oil palm)
Lineage: Eukaryota; Viridiplantae; Streptophyta; Magnoliopsida; Arecales; Arecaceae
Description: long non-coding RNA (EGUI_LNC049892)
Source: RNAcentral
AUUGGCUCUAUAUAUUAUGUUGGUAUCAUUUGUUUUUGCUAUAAGUAAUACUUUGGAAAAUCUGUCAGGUGAGUUGUCUAAGAAAGACAAAGACAGCUUAUGAUUAUGAUACAUUUAACACGAGGUAUACUAAACAAGUGAUAUAUUUGGCACAAGAUAUGCUAUGGCUUUUUUUUUUUAUUCCCAUAUAAUGUGUUAAAGCUGAUGGGAGUUGAUAGAUUUUACUUGCUAUAUUCUUAUAGUUGCCUUCUUACGUUCUAGGAUG